CUUUUUUUCCUGUGAAAAUUCAGUCACCACCAACAACAAAGGGAUCAUUAUCAACUCUGGUUACAGAAUCCAGUACUUGUUAUGAGACCACAAUAAACCCUACAACUGAAACUACUCAUCCUUCACAACCUCUCAACGUGACAUGGAACACAACAGGGGGUGAGUUACAUAAAGGUAGCUGCUGAAGCAGAUGCUGUUGUUAGAGGUACACUAUGUAACUUUUUUUUUUUUUUGCUCAAAAAAUUGAUGCAAUGAGUACAUCAUGAAUCCAUCUUCCAAAACAUGUUUUUGUCUUAUCCUGAAUCACUAUGGUACACCUAUAAUAAGUGUGUAUGUUAGGACUAUUUUAUGCUGCAGAGAAGCCCAGUACCUGCAUGACUUGUCAUAUACAUAAACAGAAUGAAGUAGCUCCAGCUACAAUGUUCUUCUGCAGGAUGCAUGCAGUUUUGUUUAUUCACUGUUAGAGUGCCAAAAGUUACGUAGUGUACCUUUAAAGGAAUAGUUCACCUAAAAAUGAAACUUUGUCUAUUCCUCCAUUUCAACCUUUCAGUUCUCAAAGUCGCAGCUGCUGGUGAAAAUGCUGUCCAUAGAACACCAAGAACAAAAACAUUGCUCAUCCUGACACUGGCAGCCACAAGCGGAGGGAUUUUCCUGACCGGACUCAUGGGCAUCUGUCUGUGCUACAUCAGACUGAAACCAAGGAAGAAGAGCCCUGUGAAUACUUCUGUAGCAGCCAUUCCCCAGACCUCAGAUGAUAUUGACGCCAAUGAGGAACGUUCUGAAGAAAAUGGGAUGAAACUGUACCACGUGUACUGCACCAUCCCUGAUGUCGCUGCAGACUCUCAUGUGAUAUACAGUCUGGCACAAAUGCCAAACCAUCCUCUGCCAGUUUAA
Cyprinus carpio (common carp) is the source of this 894-nucleotide long non-coding RNA. Lineage: Eukaryota; Metazoa; Chordata; Actinopteri; Cypriniformes; Cyprinidae. The record is from Ensembl.